GACGAACCGAGCGAACGUUGUUCGGAAUCACUGGGCUUAAAGGGCGCGUAGGCGGCUCGAAAAGUCAGGGGUGAAAUCCGGCAGCUUAACUGUCGCAGUGCCUUUGAUACUGUCGAGCUCGAGGGAGGUAGGGGUCUGUGGAACUUCCGGUGGAGCGGUGAAAUGCGUUGAUAUCGGAAGGAACGCCGGUGGCGAAAGCGACGGACUGGAUCUCUUCUGACGCUGAGGCGCGAAAGCCAGGGGAGCAAACGGG
This 253-nucleotide ribosomal RNA is filed under the name uncultured bacterium. RNAcentral describes it as "partial 16S ribosomal RNA". It matches the Rfam family "Bacterial small subunit ribosomal RNA", at positions 524 to 776 of the family's 1533-position model. The record is from RNAcentral.